UCAUGCUAUCGAAACAAAUUUAUUUUUGGGUUAUUUAAAAAAAAAACUUACAGCUACCCUGUGGACCAUGGACCCCCCCGGUUCAGAACCUGUGAUCUAUUUACUACUACUCUUUUUUUUUUUUCUUUUUAAUUAAAAAUAAAAAAGAACUAAAAUUGUUCAAUUAGUAUAAAUUUAAAAUUCGCGAUUGAUUCUCCCAAUAAUUUUAUGUAGGUGCCUCUAAUCAUAAUAAUUCAUUGUUUUUUUUUCUAAAUAUCGUUUUGCUUACUUUUUCUAAAGUUAGCAGAAUAUUAUAAUUCUGUGGGAACCUAUAUGCACCUUGGUAGUUUUUCCUUUAAAUUGUGUUGUAUAAAACCGUUUUUAUUUUUAACAGAAUAUUGAAGCGUGGGACGAGGAAUUUAUUAGUUUCGAUUGAAUGUGAAAUUCAUACGCCCACAGUAAUAAUAAUAAUAAUAAUAAAAG
Non-coding RNA from Cinara cedri, 462 nucleotides. The record is from the annotation of a GenBank genome assembly. Lineage: Eukaryota; Metazoa; Arthropoda; Insecta; Hemiptera; Aphididae.